This 1528-nucleotide long non-coding RNA is filed under the name Pongo abelii (Sumatran orangutan). Its description in RNAcentral is "lincRNA". Lineage: Eukaryota; Metazoa; Chordata; Mammalia; Primates; Hominidae. The record is from RNAcentral.
CCAGGUAGGGUAGAGCGCGGCGAGGCCCCGACGACGACGACGACGACGGCGCCGCCGCCGCCGCCGCCGGGGGACCUCGCGAGGACGGGCCCGGCGCCCGGGAAGCGAGGACGGACGGGCCGCGGCCUGCCGGGCGGGCGGGCGGGCGGCGGGGCGCGCGGGAGGGAGCGAGCGAGGGAGCGAGGGAGCGAGCGCGGGGCGGCGGGCGGGACGGCGGGGCGGGGCGGGGCGCGGCGAACCGGACGCCCCAUCCACCCGCCCGCGCGACGACACGCGACCGCCGCCCCCCGACGGGCUCGCCCCGCAGACGCACACGCAGCCACCCCCGCGGACCCUUCGCGCGCCCGCCCGCGACGAGGCGGACCGCCCGACCCGCGCCCGGCAGCCGCGAGGGACCGGCGGCCGCGCGCGCGCCCGCGGCGCCGGCGAGGCGGGGACGGCGCUCCGCCCCGCCCCGCGGGGCGGCCCCGACGUUCGGGCGGCGAGCGAGAGGCGGACCGCGGUGCCCGGGUCUCACCGCCCGCAGCCUCCGAGCGCGAAGGCGGCCCCCGCGCGGCACCCGGAGCGGCCGACUCGACCUUCGGCGAUCCGCGCGGCUCCCCCACACCGCCGCCGCAGUCGCGGCCAGCCCCCCGGAACCCUCUCUCCCCCGCACGCGCCACAGGCCGACCCCUCAAAAAACCCCUCUCCGGGAGCCCACCGGGGCCCAACGCCGGGGGGGCCGCCGACCCGGUCCCGAAGGCGCACGCCGGGGGACGGGGACACCGGGCCGACCAGCGGCCGGCGGCGGCGCCCCCCGAGGCGGUGCCGGGUUCGGUCCCAGACGAGGCCACCACCGACGUCGAGCCGGCGAGCCGCUCGGGGAGGGGAGAGGAUCGGCGGGCGGCGGGCGGGGAAGGGGCGCACAGAGAGCCAAGGGCCGGGGAACGCGAGGGCGAGGGCACCCGGGAGCCCGCAGAGCGGCGGCUCGGCGGGAGAAACCUCGGGCACGGCCGGGCCACCAGGAAAACACGGCCGCGGGAUCCCACCGCCACCGACACGAGGGCGGUCCCGCGGCGCCCCGCCUGGGACGCCGGACGGCCCUCGGCACCCACCGAGACCCGCCUCACGAGCCCCGGGUCCCGCCACCGGGGGCCCCGAAGCGACCACAGCCACCAACCCGACGCCAGGGCCGCAUCGCUCGUCAUUCUCGUCCAGCCUCCGACCCGGUCCCGCUCCGGGAGACCGGCGCGUCCCCAGCGUGGGACGCUUUCCCGGGGCCAGGCGGCCCAACCCCGCGCCCACGCGCACGCGGUCGUCGGCACCGCUCGCGACUCGGCACGGGAGCGGGCGGAGAGCCGACUCGCGGCCGAGGUGGGGGUCACGCGCCGGACGGAAGGCCGCGCACACCCACCGCUCGCGGCGGCCGCGUCCCAACCCGCUGGGACGCCGGGCCCGGCCCGGCGGGAUCCUCCCCCGACUCGGAAGGGGGAGGCGCGGGCCACACUGCAGGCGACGAGCCGCGCUCGGCCACCACCGCGGUGGCCGG